UUAAUACUCCCUCCGUUCUAAAAUUCUUGUCUUAGAUUUGUCUAGAUACCCGUAUCUAGACAAAAUUAUUGUCUUAGAUUUGUCUAGAUACCAAUUUGUCUAGACACCCGUAUCUAGACAAAUCUAAGACAAGAAUUUUGGGACGGAGGGAGUACAAC
Molecule: non-coding RNA, 158 nt
Organism: Triticum aestivum (bread wheat)
Lineage: Eukaryota; Viridiplantae; Streptophyta; Magnoliopsida; Poales; Poaceae
Source: Rfam